UGGUCAUAGUCUUCUUGUAAUAUAGGCAUAGAAAAGAGAUGGUAGUUCCUGAGGUGGAGUGCUGAAUGUAUGUAGGCUAUUAAAUGUUGAGAGGAAGCUGGGAUGCAUGUGUCAGUAAAGGAGUCUUUCUGGGACCAUAUGAACAACAAACAUGGACAGAGAUUUUUUUAUUAGCUCUCAUGCAAUCAAUGUAAUAAACCUCAUUUGGUAAUUUCAGGUUUGAACUGGUGCCCUGCAGCAUGCCAGCCAGCAAUACUAACCACUACAUCACUAGUGUGUGCAUCGCAGUACAUGGCAAUAUGGAGGCAAAUGUACUGAGCCUCAGCCAGACAGUACAGUCCUACAUCUAAAUCUACAUCUGUAACCUGCAAACCACUGUGAAGUGCACAUCAAGUGAUACUUCCCAUUCAAGUGCACCCAGACUCUCAGCAAAAGGAAAAAGGCAACCAGCCAAUAAGUAAAAAUCCACCCACAGACUAGAAGGAGCUGUCCAGGCGGAAUGAUUUCAGGUUACAUUUAAAACUUACUUUGAUGCCUGUCAAACAUUUAAUGUUACUGGAAAAAAGAUAAAAAAUUUUGCUCAUUGCAUAUUGAACUCCUUUCUGAGCCACUGGCAUAU
This is a long non-coding RNA of Schistocerca americana (American grasshopper), 619 nucleotides long. RefSeq lists it as uncharacterized. The transcript has 5 exons. The record is from RefSeq and is a predicted model, not a curated record. Lineage: Eukaryota; Metazoa; Arthropoda; Insecta; Orthoptera; Acrididae.